GCCUGAGUGGCUCAGUCAGUUGAGCAUCCGACUUUGGCUCAGGUCAUGAUCUCGUUCAUGGGUUCGAGCCCCACAUCAGGCU
Molecule: transfer RNA, 82 nt
Filed under: Felis catus (domestic cat)
Lineage: Eukaryota; Metazoa; Chordata; Mammalia; Carnivora; Felidae
Also listed under: 1 other name
Rfam family: tRNA
About the family: Transfer RNA (tRNA) molecules are approximately 80 nucleotides in length.
Source: Rfam by way of RNAcentral